This 886-nucleotide long non-coding RNA is filed under the name Coturnix japonica (Japanese quail). RNAcentral's name for it is "lncRNA (ENSCJPG00005002639.1)". The record is from RNAcentral. Lineage: Eukaryota; Metazoa; Chordata; Aves; Galliformes; Phasianidae.
UCCCGGGGGCCCAGCGGCGCGCCUGUCACGGCCGCAGGUGGAUUUUUAGUUUCAAACCGUGACAGGGGGGGCGGGCCGACAGGGGGCGCUGUGGUGGUGCGAUAGUGGGUCGUGAUAGUGAGAAGGAGGGCCUUGGUGGUGAUAGGGGGGGACAUGGUGAUAAGGGGGGAUGGGGGGAUGGGGGGGGUCCUGCUGAUAAGGGAGGUCCUGCUGAUGCUGUGCUGAGCCGUGGUGACACCGACACACCUGGGGACACACACAGACAUGGUGGAACAUGGCAAAUGGCGACCAGGGAUGGGGACACCCCCCCCAAUAUGGUGACCCCAGUGGCAAUGACCCCAGUUGACCCCCAUUAUGUUGACCCCCCCCCAUGACAGUGACCCCAGUAAUGGUGACCCCAGGUGACCCCCCCCAAUACGGUGACACCCCCAUGAUGGCGACCCCAGUGACACUGACCCCAGGUGACCCCCCGGUCACAUUCCCCCCCCUGCCGUUGCCCCCCCCGCCCCCCAUUCCCAUACUGCCGUCCCCGUUUGGUCCGUUCCGUUCAGUCCGGUCCUAUGGUUCCGUUCCCGCAGCAGAGCCCUCAGCAGGGCCGGCAGCCCCAUGGAGUCGCACCACGGCUCCCAUAUAGGGCCCUGAUCCCAUAUAGGGCCCUGAUCCCAUAUAGGGCUGUGCUCCCUUAUAGGGCCGUGCUCCCCUAUAGGGCCAUGCUCCCUUAUGGGGCCAUGCUCCUCUAUAGGGCCCUGAUCCCAUAUAGGGCCCUGAUCCCUUAUAGAGCCAUGCUCCCAUAGCCGUCCAUGCUCCACUAUAGGGCCGUGCUCCCCGUUAGCCAUCCGUGCUCCAUUCCCGCCUCCAGCCCCAUCCCCCACCUCCUCUUAAUCCC